CUGGACACUUUAACCUGGUACCAAUCCAGGCUGCUGCUGAAAGGUGACAACCACACUCCCCCUUUCCACUUCUUCCUGCUGGCUUUCUUGUACAAGUGUUAGCAUUUGUGCAGCAAACUGAACCAAGGAACUGAUCCACUGAAAAGUAACUCCCUUUUGUUUUUCCAGCUGGACCAGUUACCACAGAAGAAAAGCUGUAAGAAAGCAGAUGCCGGGUGGAGUAACAGCAUGUCUGUUGACAGCAAAGUUCAGAAGAAUACUGAGGCUGAGCAAUGACAUACAUUCCAAAUCUCCUCUGGCAUUUGGCAGCAAUUCCCUUCUUCAGUGUGAAUGGCAGAUGUUAAGUCGUUUCAGAAAAGGGAACGAUACAAGGUUCACCCUACAGCCUUAAAUUUCUCAAGAGGUUAAGGACACCGCAAGUAUGACUACAUUGUAUUAACGUACUGUCCUACACCUGUCAAAAAUUUACAUCUUUGGUAUGUUCACUGUAAACGUUUAGUCUGUCUGAUUGCUGUAUUUUGUACAUCAUAAACUAUACUACUGCUAUGUAAAAUAGUAUUUUCAAAUGCUGA
This is a long non-coding RNA of Aquila chrysaetos chrysaetos, 572 nucleotides long. RefSeq lists it as uncharacterized. The transcript is spliced from 3 exons. The record is from RefSeq and is a predicted model, not a curated record. Lineage: Eukaryota; Metazoa; Chordata; Aves; Accipitriformes; Accipitridae.